GUACUAGAUUUCAGGAAAUUAUAAGCGACACGAGCCUCAAUUACUCAAUUAUCGAAACACACAAAAAGAUCACCGAAAUCUACAACAAAUCAACAAUUUGUAAAUAAAUUAAAAGAGUUUUGAAUCCCACACCUGAUUUGCAAUCAAAGACGUUUAGACAUCGGCUCGACGACAAGGAAACGACUCUCCAAAAUCCACAAGAAAAAUCGUUUUCAAAGAAAAAUAAAUAAGAACAAAACGAAAGAAAAAAAAUAAAGAAAGGGGAAGAGGAGAACAUCCAGAGAAAAGAAAAAAUAAUCCCAAAAUAAAAAUGACAAUCAAUAGUUAUAUAUUUUAACUUAAAACAAAACGGCUACUUAACAAAACAAAAUGAAAUAAAAAUGUUUCUCCAAAACGCACACACAAAGACUCGAACCCAAAAC
This 422-nucleotide long non-coding RNA is filed under the name Gossypium raimondii (Peruvian cotton). Its description in RNAcentral is "long non-coding RNA (GRAI_LNC007994)". The record is from RNAcentral. Lineage: Eukaryota; Viridiplantae; Streptophyta; Magnoliopsida; Malvales; Malvaceae.